AAAUACUGCCACCUUGCUUGCAGAAAAAAAAAGCUUGUCAGAAACUUGUUCAACACUUCAGCAAAUCAAGAUUAAUUCUUCAGCAGCUUGAACAGAAAGUUCACAAUGUUCAUUUAAUAAUGCUACUUCUGUAGUAUUAGUAUUAUUAUUUUGUUUUGCAAAGCAAAUAUGUUUAAAAUUCAAUUUUAAAAUCAACCAACCUAAUUGAUUUUAUUUUUAUUUUUUUAUUUUAGAGACCCAGAGAAAUCACCAGGGAAGUACAAUUUUCUUGCCUUAUGUUUAAAUCAGGCACAAAAUCAGAAUCUUCCAGAGGCCAGCAGAAAAAAAGAUGCUGUUUAAGAAAAAGACAACAGUUUCUGCCAGUAUAAAAACAAAAGGUAAGAGUUCUCUCAGA
Molecule: long non-coding RNA, 394 nt
Filed under: Ficedula albicollis (Collared flycatcher)
Lineage: Eukaryota; Metazoa; Chordata; Aves; Passeriformes; Muscicapidae
Description: lncRNA (ENSFALG00000023793.1)
Source: RNAcentral